UAAUAGCUUUGGGUGUAUUCCAUCAGGUCCCAUUGACUUAUUUGUCUUUACUUUUGACAGUUGAAAUAGAACCUCUUCCUCUAAACUCACGUGUAAUAAAUGACUCAUUUGUCCUUUUUCUCAACUGAGGUCCCUUUCCUUCAUUUUCAUCUGUAAAUACAGAACAAAAAUAUUCAUUGAGGCAGUCAGCUAGACCUUUAUCCUCUUCUACAUACCUUCCUUCUUUUGUUUUUAAUCUAACUAAUCCUUGUUUUACUUUUCUUUUCUCAUUUAUGUAUCUAAAAAACAUUUUAUCCCCCUUUUUUACUGACUGUGCUAUUUUCUCUUCUGUGUGUGAUUUGAAGCUCUUAUAACUUGCUUAGCCUCUUUCUGCCUAAUCUUAUAGAUCAUUUUGUCUUCCUCACUCAUUUUUCAUAAUUCCUAAAUGUUAACUUUUUGUUUUUAACUAUUUUGGCCACAUCUGCGGAGUACCACAGUGGUUUCUUGAAUUUUUUGCUUUUACUGACAAGCCUAAUGCAAUUUUCUGUUGCCUUCAAUAGUGCAACUUUUAAAUAAUCCCAUUUCUCUUGGACUCCAUUUAAAUUGCUCCAGUCUGAUAAUGACUCCUCUACCCAUAUUCUAAUUUUAGAAAAGUCUGUUUUUCUAAAGUCUAAAACUUUUGUUUUUGUGUGGUGUGACUCAGUCACUGUUCUUAUAUUAAACCACACUGACUGAUGAUCACUGGAUCCUAAACUUUCACCUAUAGUAAUAUCUGAUACCAAAUCUCCAUUUGUUAACACUAAAUCUAGUAUGGCCUCUUUACGAGUUGGCUCCUCAACAACUUGUUUUAGAGACAAUCCCAGUAGGGAGUUUAGAAUAUGUGUGCUCCUGGCACAAGUAGCUAAUUUUGUUUUCCAAUUUACAUCAGGAAGAUUAAAGUCACCCAUGAUGAUAACUUCCCCCUUCAUUGUCAUUUUAGCUAUUUCCUCAACUAGUAGAUUAUCUAACUCUUCAAUUUGUCCUGGGGGCCUAUAAAUCACAUCUACAUGAGUUACUGUGUGAUUACCAAAUUCUAACGUAACCCAAACGGACUCUAUGUUUGCCUCACUUACUUUUAUUAGGCUAGAUUUUAUGCUAUCCUUCACAUACAAGGCCACCCCUCCCCCUUUCUUGCUUUCCCUAUCUUUCCUAUAUAAAGAGUACCCUGGUAUUGCUAUGUCCCAGUCAUUUUUCUCAUUGUACCAUGUCUCAGUAACAGCGACUAAAUCUACACUAUCAGUUGCCAUUAUUGCCACAAGUUCAUGGAUCUUAUUCCCUAAACUGCGAGCAUUUGUAGACAUGACUCUAAGCUUAUAAUUUUUAACACACUUGCUACAGGCACCUUCUGUCCUUGUUUUGGGGGACAAUUGGAUUGAUGUUUUAUCACCCUCUUGCCCCCCCCCCCAGUUUAAAUACAUCCUAGCAAAACCUCUGCACUGCUCACUGAGAACAUUUGUUCCCUUUUGAGAAAGAUGCAAACCAUCUUUUUUGUACAGCUUAUUUCCAUUCCAAACAGAGCUACCAUGAGAAGUAAAGCCAAAUCCUUGCUCCCGACACCAUUCACCAAGCCACAAAUUAAAGUCCCUAAUACGCAUCCGCCUGUCGUUCUGAGUGUUAUGCACAGGCAGAACUUCAGAGAAUGACAGUGUGGAAGCAACCUGCCGUAUAUCAUUGGCAAAAACACUAAAAACUUCCUUAACCUCUGAAACCUCAUUGCAAGCCAAGUCAUUUGUCCCUAGAUGGACAAGUACAUCCAAUUCCCCUUCCUGGUUUGCUUGCUUAACAAUAUUACAGAUACGUCUCCUGUCUCUGUGAGCAGUAGCUCCAGGAAGACACCUCACAAGACCACCAUUGUGCAUAAUGUAAUCCCCCAACAACAUUGUGCACCUCGUAUAAUGUAAUCCCCCAACAACAACUGCUUUCUAUUAGGCCUCACCAUAAUCUCCAAGCCGGUCUCCACAACACCACUAGCCUCAGUGCCCCUCUCCACAACACCACUAGCCUCAGUGCCUCUCUCCACAACACCACAAGCCUCAGUUCCUCUCUCCACAAUACCACUUGCCUCAGUGCCUCUCUCCACAAUACCACUAGCCUCAGUGCCUCUCUCCACAACACCAUUACACUCUGAAAGUGCAGAAAAUGAAUUAUGAAGAGCAACAGACUGUGCAAAAUGCCUUUUAUCCACAACUCUAAGUCUACCAGAUCCUACAGUAAUCCAUCUGCCAUUCCUUGUAUGUCUCUGCGGCAGUGGCUUUGCAGCAGUCCCAGUCUGAGUUUGUUCACCAGAUAAUUUACAAAUCUCAGACUUCAAAAAUACAAUCUCCUGCCGCAAGAUAGAGAACUGUCUACAGAUUAGACAAUCACCAAACCUCCAAAAAGUGGAACGUGAAACAAAUGCAUAGCAACUAUUACACUGAACUAAGUCUGCCAUUCCAAUGAGGAGAAUAAUUUAAAUCAAACAAAUCUUAACUUUUUAUUUAUCCUCCUGAAUACCUCAGAUUACCUCCAAGUUAUCUCCAGAAUAUCUCCAACUACACACUUAGAAACAGCACUCUCCAGAAUAUCUCCAAAUACACACUUAGAAACAGCACUCUCCAGAAUAUCUCCAACUACACACUUAGAAACAGCACUUAGAAGUAGCAACUAUGUGUGUGUAUGCAACAGUCUGUGUCUGUAUUCCGCAGUCUGUGCAUAGGCGUGCGCAUCCUAUUGCACCCUAAAGCACAAGCCCACGCCGCGUAUACAGUUGCAAGAAAAAGUAUGUGAACCCUUUGGAAUGAUAUGGAUUUCUGCACAAAUUGGUCAUAAAAUGUGAUCUGAUCAUCAUCUAAGUCACAACAAUAGACAAUCACAGUCUGCUUAAACUAAUAACACGCAAAGAAUGAAAUGUUGCCAUUUUUUUAUUGAACACACCAUGUAAACAUUCACAGUGCAGGUAGAAAAAGUAUGUGAACCCUUGGAUUUAAUAACUGGUUGAGCCUCCUUUGGGAGCAAUAACUUCAAUCAAACGUUUCCUGUAGUUGCAAAUCAGACGUGCACAACGGUCAGGAGUAAUUCUUGACCAUUCAAUCGGGUUGAGGUCAGGACUCUGACUGGGCCACUUCAGAAGGGGUAUUUUCUUCUGUUUAAGCCAUUCUGUUGUUGAUUUACUUCUAUGCUUUGGGUCAUUGUCCUGUUGCAACACCCAUCUUCUGUUGAGCUUCAGCUGGUAGACAGAUGGCCUUAAGUUCUCCUGCAAAAUGUCUUGAUAAACUUGGGAAUUAAUUUUUCCUUUGAUGAUAGCAAUCCGUCCAGGCCCUGACGCAUCUCGCGAGAGGAACCCGGCGGAGCUGCCGGCAAUAGCUCCCCGGAAACCUCUCCUACCUCCCUCCCUGCCUGUGGGUCAGUCGGGAGGGAUGCUGAGAGCAGAGCCGGUGCUCGGAUAGCGCCGGCUCUGCAUAAGCCAACAGGGGAGAUCCUGAGAUCUCCCCUGCCGGUCUCUAUACAUAAGCGUGCCGCAGGGAUUAGGGUGUGCCCAUGCACACCUGGCACAUCCCGUGCACACUCCUAUGUGUCUGUGUAUUUAUUUUGCAGUCUGUGUGUCUGUAUUCUGCAGUCUGCUGAAUACACACACACACAAACUGCUGAAUAAACAAACUGCUGAAUACACAGAAAAACUGCUGAAUACACACAGACAGACUGCUGCAUACACAAAGACAGAUGGCUGAAUACACACAUAUAGACAGCUAAAUACACACACAGACUGCUGAAUACCUACAGACUGCUGAACACACACUCAGAGGCUGCUGAAUACACUCACAUAGACAGCUGAUUACACAGACUGCUGAAUACAUACAGACUGCUGAACACACACACACACACUCACAGACUGCUGAAUACACACACAGACAUAUUGCAGAGAGGGGUGCAGUGUGUAUGUGCAGUGCAGUGAGUGCGGAGAGGGUGCAGUGUGGGUGGUGCAGUGUGUGUAUUUGGGGGUUCAGUGUGUGUAGGGGCUCAGUGUGUGCAGGGGGGCGUAUGUGUGUGGGGUUGCAGUGUGUGUGGGGUUUGUUUAGUGUGCGUAAGAGGUGCAGUGUGUGUGUUUGUGGAGAGGUGCAGUGUGUGUAUGGGUUCAGCGUGUGUGUGGGUGGGUGCAGUGUGUAUGUGUGAAGGGGUUCAGUGAAUGGGAAGUGCUGUUUGUAUGGGUUCAGUGUGUGUGUAGGAGUGCAGUGUGUGUAUGGAAGAGGUGCUGUGUGUGUGUGUGUGUGUGGAGGAGGGGCCUCAGCUUGAGUUUCUAUAUGCAUUAUCAAGCAGUAGCUGCUCUCCUGGGUUUUUAAGUAGGAGCUCCUUAAAAUAACAAAAUAAAAAAAAUUGUAGAUGUGCAUUAUUAACUUCAGAACAUUAUCAUCAAGAAGUAGUAAAAGACCUGAAGUAUAAGAGAAUCUCUGGGGACCCAACUUCAUACCCUGACUAUGCUUGAUCAUAUCGGAGUCUGAGUAAGUGCUGAGCCUGUGUGUGUGUGUAUAUGUAUGUGUGUGUGUGUGGGGGUACUAACCAGUGCAUACUGGGAACACCCCACAAGACUUGACAUUUUGGAGAUGUUCGGACCCAUUUGUCUAGCCAUCACUUUUUGAUCCUUGUCAAAGUCACUCUGAUCUUCCCCAUUUUUUUUUGAGGGGGGGGCGAUAAGGGAGAAAUAUAUGGGGGGGGGGCGAUAAGGGAGCAAUAUAUCAAAAAACAAACAAAAACAUUUUAUAUUACCCCCCUCCUUCUUACCUUUGGCCAGGGAGGGUGGGAGGGGGGGCAACUUUUCAAUCCCUGGGGCUCCUCUGGCUGCAGGCUGACUAUUCUCUCCUCCUGCGAGUACAGGGCUAUGUUGGAGCAGUGCCAUGGUAAUGCUUGGCAACAUUCCAACCUGCCUGCUCAUGGGAGGAGCCUUCUGCCUCCCCAGACCCGGCUCCAGACCUCCCUCUGCAGCAACAAACUGAUUUGGGCCCGGUGAGGGAGAUUUUUAAUCUCCCUCACCGGCCCAAGAAGGCAGAUCAUGGGGCAUUCAAAAACUGUUUAUGCAUCCUGAGAAAAUUUCUCGGGACGCUCGGUCAAAUCAGCAACAGCUGGGACUAUCUCGGUAAAACUGGCGGGACAUCUGGUCACUCUGCUCAUGCUGCCAGAACAGCUCUAAUGCAUUGAGAAAUGGACUCCUUAAGCCAUAUGUGAUAUCUGGCACCACGACAAUGUUUAAGUUCUGCAAGGUGGGGCAUCCUUGGAUCGGAUUUGUUGUUCCAGCACAUUACACGGAUCUCAGGAAUUUGGAGGCUAAGGUAAAAUGUGACAAAGUAACAUGAAUGCCAGGAUCCGAGGUUUCCAAGCAGAAUAUUGCCUAGAGCAUUACAUUGCCUCCGCCACCUUGCCUUCUUUCUAUAGUGCAUCAUGGGCACUCUGACCAGUAUGCAGCUGAGCAGUCACAUAUGCAGCAAACUGUGAUGCACCGUGUGUUCAAGCUUUCUUUCAUGACCAGCAUGAAGUUGAGCUGCAGUGGCCCUUCUGUGUGAUUGGUCCAGACAGCUAGCCUUUGCUCCCCAAAUGCAUCAAUAAACCUUGGGCACCCAUGACCCUGGAGCUGAUAUAAUAAUCAAUAUUAUUCACUUCACGUGUCAGUGGUUUUAUUAUUGUGGCUGAUCAGUUUAAUUGCAUAGGAUUUUCCUUUGCUUGCAGAAGGAAAUUACUUGAGGAUGGCAUAAUUGUAUUAAAUAUACUUUUCGUAAAGAGGGCAUGUUCAAGAAUUAAAUCUUCUCAGUUGCAUUUCAAAGAAAUAUGGGUUCUGAAGUCAGUUUAGCGCAUCCAUGCUGCUAGGAAUAAUUCAAAUCUUAAAGAGGCAGAAAGUGUUGAAUGUUCUAACUGGAUCUAAAAGACAAACUUUUUUAAAGAAUGUUUCUAUAAUAUGGUUUUCAAACCAUCCUUCUAAUAUUCUUUAUGUAUCCUUCACCCUUAUAAAUUUUGUGUAACUAAUAUUUUCUUUUCAAAUGAAGAAUUAAUGCCACGUGUCUUUUGCAUGUAAUGCUUUUUCCAACAUGCUGAUAGCUGAAUGUACUGUUCUUGAAUACUAAGAAUGCUAGGGUAUAUGCAAAGCAAGCACAUUCUAAGCCGCAACUGCCCAUAGUACACUGCGUUUUUGUUAUAGAUAAUGAAGUUUUGUCAUUGUUUCUCAUCAACUUUAAGCAAUGUUGUAAUUACUUGUUCAAUACUCCUUUCUGGAUGGAUGAAAGAUAUUGCCAAUAUAACAUCAAGGUACAUUAACAUCACAGCCUUAGAACUAAUGAUUUUUGGAGGGAUGAGAAUACUUUUGAGUCCAGAGCAUCUGUUUCUAAUAUAAGCAUUUGAAUCUUAAAGUUUAAGAAGGAUCAUCUAAUUAAAAGAUUUGUGGACAUUUCUGCAGUGUGCAAUUAACUUUAAUCAGUGGAAAAAAACGGGUAAGCAUAUACAUACGCGAGUUGGGAAGCUGAUAGUAAUGUUGAAGAAAAAAACAACAAAUUGGCAAUGUGCCAGUAAUAAUGAAUGAUAGCAUCAUCCCAUCUCUAAUUCAUAAUUAGCUGGUUAUUAAGGGUAGCUUGUGUGGCAUGCAUUGUGAGUGCUCAUGUCAGAUAAUUGUGAUUUAAAAACUUACUGGGAUAUGAAAUAAAAUCACAGGUAAAGUAAGGUCAGUUUGUGCUAAUAAAAACCCAGAGACAUAAAAAGCUGAUUAGCAAAUAUUGAAGCAUGUUUAUAUUUCAGUUUAACAUUUAAAACAUGUUAUUUAUAAAGACAGAUAUAAUUUCAGACAAUCAUUUCUACCUAUUAAAGUGUUACAUUGCUAUACAAGUUAUAAGAAUAAAAUACAACUCCUACAAUAACCACUUGCUGUAGUGUUUAUGUUGCAACUUGCAAGUAAUGCCCUCCCAUCCCCUAUUGUAAGUAGUCAAACUGUAUUAGACAUGUUACCUGGUGUCCUCUUGACACCUCUCUCCGCCUGCUUUACAGAUGCCUGAGAACUGGAAGUUCAUAAGCAGAAGCAGAAGCCAGUGUUCAUUUAAAGUUCUUCCUAGGACUUAGGUGAAGCACCUCUCCUAAGGAGCUCUCUAUCCAGAGCCAGCCGACAAUCCAAUGAAUCUUUGACUUAAAUAAUUUGGAACAAAGAAAUAUUUGGACACUUUAUAUAUCCUCACGGGUUUUACAGUCCUAGGUGUACACCACAUAAUCCUAAAUCCCCUAUGCCCAUCACUACUAAAUGUAACCUCUCCCAAGUCUAAACUUACAAUACUCUUUCGUCUACUGAUAUUCUCUAUUAACAUUGGUAUGCUAUUCUGAACAUUGACACAAGUUUUGUUACUUCGCUGUUUACAAAAAUCUAUUCAAGUUAGCAUAAAAUAAUGAAUAUGGGAUUAAAUUGCAGUCUCUCAACUUUAAUUUGAGGUCAUUCACAUCCAAAUUGGAGGAAGAGUUUAGGAGUUAGAGCUCUUUUUAGUCCUCUUUUUCAAGGGACUAAAAGGAAAUGGACCCUUGACUCAGAAGCUGUUUGAUGAACAGGCGUGGGCUAUUCCUUUGUUAUUUCUUCAUCAAUUAAUCAUGUAAAAGGUAUGGUGUUGACUCCAAGUGUGGCAUUUGCAUUUGGAAGCUAUUGCUGUAAACCCACAACUUGAGGAGCUCUCCUUAAACAAUUUUUAGGCUGCAAAAUAAAUAAAAUUAAAUAAGAAAGAUAGCAGGAACAAUAGUAGUGGCCAAAUCAAUGGUUUGGUACAUUCUGAGAAAAAAACACAAAACACUGGUGAGCUUUGCAAAGGCCUGGAUAUCCAUGGAAAACAACCGUGGUUAAUGAUCGUAGGAUUCUUUCCAUGGUUAAGGAAAUGCCCUUCACAACAUCCAAGCAAGUGAAGAACACUCUCCAGGAAAUACAUAUUUUUAUCCAAGUUUACCAUAAAGAGAAGACUAAGCGAAAGUAAAUACAGAGAGUUCACCACAAAGUGCAAACCAUUCAUAAGCCUUAAGAAUAGAAAGGCCAGAUUAGCCAAAAAAAAAACAUUAAAAAAAGCCAGCCCAGUUCAGGGAACAGCAUUCUUUGGACAGAUGAAACUGAGAUCAACCUGUACCAGAAUGAUGGGAAGAACAGAGUAAGGAGAAGGCUUGGAACGGCUCAUAACCAAAGCAUACCACAUCAUCUGUAAAACACGGUGGUGGCAUAGUGACAUGGGCAUGGCAUGGGCAUGCAUGGCUUUCAUUGACACUGCGUCACUAGUGUUUAUUGAUGAUGUGAUAGAAGACAGAAGCAGCCGGAUGAUUUCUGAAGUGUUGAUUGGAUGGUGCCUUACUUUUCAGAUGGACAAUGAUCCAAAACAUACUGCGAAAGCAACUCCGGGGAUUUUCAAGGGAAGGAAGUGGAAUAUACUGCAAUGGCCGAGUCAAUCACCUGAUUUCAACCUGAUCAAGCAUGCAUUUCCCUUUGCUGAAGACAAAACAUAAGGUAGAAAGCCAGCAAAGGAUUCUCAACAAAGUAUUAAAUAAUGUAAGAUUUUAAUUAUGAUUGUGUUAAUUUGUCCAAUUACAUUUGAGAACCUUAAAUAAGGGGACUGUGUAUGAAAAUGGUUGCAAUUCCUAAAUGAUUCAUACAAUAUUUUUUUUAACCCCCGGAAUUAAAGGUGAAAUUCUGCACUUGAAUUGCAUUUCGAUUGUUUAAUUUCAAAUACAUUAUGGAGGCACAGAGAGGCAAAAUUACGAAAAUAGUGUCAGUGUCCAAAUAUUUCCGGACCUAACUGUUAACGUACACACAGUCUCUGUUAUAUUGUGUACUCUCUUUAUGCCAGACUCCCUGAAUUAUCUCUCCCUCUUUACUAGUUAGUCCAUCCUCAUCCUGCUCUAUGUUAAUCAUCCCCUAUUAUUCCCUCCCUUUAUUUAUCACCCAUAUGUUCUCUCAUUCUAUUGCAAUCAUUCCCAGAGCCGAUCUUAGUGUCACAGACACCUGGAUGCAUAAACCUUUUGGCACACCAGGUGGGAAUGGCUUUUGAAGACACACAAGCGUCACAUAUCAAUAACUGUUAUUUAUUUAAAACAUUGCUUUCUAAUCAUUAAUGCGUAUUAUAAUAUAACUGAUUUUACAGCUUUCGGUGCUUUCUCAAUAGCAUGUAUUAUAAUAAAGCAGAUUUACACUACAACAACUUUUGUGUACAAUGAAAUUCACAUGUAUUAUGUGCUCUAAAGCUAUUCUUGUGAUCUCACAAACUAGCUAAUAAAAACACCUACAUGGGCCAUUUUCUGAGACUUGAGGCUUGUAGCAGGCUCAUUUUGUUUACAGCUGUGAUUGAUCAAUCAGGAUUUAAUGAGAUGAGUGCAGCAUAUUAUUAUUUUUAUGUUUUAUAAGUAUGUAAAUUUUAACAAUAUAAAGUUUAUGGUUUUUUUUUUAAUGUGAAACGGCAAGUUAAAGUUAAACAGGAACUCAUUUGAAUUUUUUUUUAUUUUUCUGAAAUAAUCUAUUACACUUUACAAAAUUCUUGUUCGGUUUUAGCAUGGGCAAUAUUUCAGCUGUUACAUUAUUGGCAUGCCACAUUUAUCUAGAAUGGUUUCUCCCUUCUUUGGAUUCCAGAAAUAAAAAGUAGAAAAAUGCUUCUUUUGACUGCACUUAUAAAACAAAGAAAGUACAUGCAAUAAAUUGUGAAGGAUUUUCAUUGCUAGUCACCUUUAAAGAAUGGAUUCUGCAAAUGGAAAAAGCAAGAAAGAUAACCUGACUCACUAGCUAAUAUAUGUGUUUAUAUUCCCAAGACAAGUAUGCCAUAAAAUCCACUUUAGCCUUGACUGUCACCCUGUAAUAUAUAUUUUGGAAAUAGAGCCAGUGAUGAUUUCUGCAUCAUCCUCUGGAUAUUUUGGAGGUAAAAUCAAUAUGUACCAAGAGCGUUUGAACAGAUAACGUGUAUCAAUGUGUCAGAAUUUGGCACAAGCUGUAAUGUAGGAACUGAAAUAUUAGAAAGGGGUAGUAUGAAAAAGAUACCACUUUUUGCCCUUUUCUAUUACCAUUACUAUUCAAUUUUGUAGUAAAUAGAAUAUAUAGAGUUGCUGAAAGAUUGAUAAUAAAAGUAUUUUAAAAUCAUCUUAACUUUUAUAGAGAAUAAUAUUUCCAGUUCUGCUAAAUAUCACGUUAUGAUCAUUAUCAGCAUUGAUGUAUUAUAUUUAUGUGAAGCAUGCUGCAAUGUUUUACUAUUUUACAAAGCAUAUCAAACAGAAUGACACACGCAUAAUCAUGUAUUUCCUAUUGAUAGGGUGGUGUGGCACUCAGGGUUAUCACUAGUUGUAGACCAGGAAUAGGCAACCUUCGGCACUCCAGGUNNNNNNNNNNNNNNNNNNNNNNNNNNNNNNNNNNNNNNNNNNNNNNNNNNNNNNNNNNNNNNNNNNNNNNNNNNNNNNNNNNNNNNNNNNNNNNNNNNNNAAACAUGGAGUAAAGUCUGGCAAGGGCACCACUUAUUGACUAGAGCGGUCAGCUGAUGCUCUAAGGCAAACAGUAGCUCCACAUUCAUAAAGAUGGUAUGUACCUUUUUUUAGGAAUGGGGAACUACUGACUGCUUUAGCAAAUCCGUCACUGGAAGCAACCUAUUGCAUUAAACCAUUUGAGCGCAUGGGGGCCUCCUGGUACCAUAACUACUUAAUUUAUAGGACCCAAGUGUUCUUUUAAUUAUUUAGGGUUUUAAGGUUAAUCUAAUAAGACUAUUUAUCAUAUUGGUAUCUCCUAAGGUGACUAGCUUAUCUCAAGAAGCUCUGAUGAGAUCAAGCAUCUUCUCAUUGAACAAUAAUGAGUUCUUGGCAGUAGGUAUAGAAAAAUAUACAAUAUCACUCAGAUCCCUUGGUUGGUUCGGGAACACAAUUCGAAUUAAGUUUUGACCAGUCAGCCACGAGGUGAUGUCCCAAAACAGUUCCAGAGAAAACAAGGCAAGGAGUGGUCAUCUUUCGGGGGUACUCACACGAACACAGAUGAAUCUAUCGCGUGGGUGUUCGGGUACAAAUGCUCCCCCUGUUCGGUAGUUUAUUCCUCCCGAACACCAUUCUCCUAACUGUUCGGGAAGUUGGAUGGGCAGCGGUCCUUGUUUCCCGGGUGUUCGUGGGAUUGUGUAUCUGAAAACAAAUCCCCGCUGUCGACUACCAUGUACCGAUCCCAGCGUUGGGGAGACAAAAUGACCGCUAAUUGUUUGAACACGUGCAUUUGGUUUUACGAACGGUGGCCACACAGGGGAACACUUGAACUAAUAACAAAUUUAUGGUUAACACCCAGGGGCGGUUAGUUUUUAAAAGUUGCGAUGUGUAUAUAUUCAGCAGUCUUCAGCAGUCUUUGUGUAUGUGUAUUCAGCAGCCUAUAGAAACAUAGAAACAUAGAAUGUGACGGCAGAUUCGGCCCAUCUAGUCUGCCCAAUUUUCUAAAUACUUUCAUUAGUCCCUAGCCUUUUCUUAUAGUUAGGAUAGCCUUAUGCCUAUCCCACGCAUGCUUAAACUCCUUACAGUGUUAACCUCUACCACUUCAGCUGGAAGGUUAUUCCAUGCAUCCACUACCCUCUCAAUAAAGUAAUACUUCCUGAUAUUAUUUUUAAACCUUUGUCCCUCUAAUUUAAGACUAUGUCCUCUUGUUGUGGUAGUUUUUCUUCUUUUAAAUAUAGUCUCCUCCUUUUACUGUAUUUGAUUCCCUUUAUGUAUUUAAAUGUUUCUAUCACUUAUCCCCCUAUUUCUAUCGCAUAUCUUAGUAUCAUCAGCAAAAGACAUACCUUACCAUCAAGACCUUCUGCAAUAUCACUAAUAAAAAUAUUAAAGAGAAUGGGUCCAAGUACAGAUCCCUGAGGUACCCCACUGGUGACAAGUCCAAGCUUCGAAUAUAUUCCAUUAACUAAAACCCUCUGUUGCCUGUCACUCAAGCCUUCAAUGUGCAACAGUGUCAAAAGCCUUACUGAAAUCUAGGUAAGCAAUGUCUACUGCACCACCCUGAUCUAUAAUUUUAGCUACCCAAUCAAAAAAAUCAAUAAGAUUAGUUUGGCAUGAUCUCCCUGAAGUAAACCCAUGUUGUCUCUGAUCUUGAAAUACAUGUGUUUUUAGAUGUUCAACAAUCCUAUCCUUUAACAUGGUUUCCAUCACUUUCCCCACUACUGAAGUAAGGCUUACUGGCCUAUAGUUGCCCGACUCCUCCCUAUUACCUUUCUUGUAAAUGGGCACAACAUUCGCUAACUUCCAAUCUUCUGGGACUACUCCUGUUAACAAUGAUUGGUUAAAUAAAUCUGUUAAUGGUUUUGCUAGUACACCACUAAGCUCUUUUAAUAGCUUUGGGUGUAUUCCAUCAGGUCCCAUUGACUUAUUUGUCUUUACUUUUGACAGUUGAAAUAGAACCUCUUCCUCUGUAAACUCACGUGUAAUAAAUGACUCAUUUAUCCUUUUUCUCAGCUGAGGUCCCUUUCCUUCAUUUUCAUCUGUAAAUACAGAACAAAAAUAUUAAUUGAGGCAGUCAGCUAGACCUUUAUCCUCUUCUACAUACCUUCCUUCUUUUGUUUUUAAUCUAACUAAUCCUUGUUUUACUUUUCUUUUCUCAUUUAUGUAUCUAAAAAAUGUUUUAUCCCCCUUUUUUACUGACUGUGCUAUUUUCUCUUCUGUGUGUGAUUUGGAAGCUCUUAUAACUUGCUUAGCCUCUUUCUGC
RNAcentral lists this long non-coding RNA (12682 nucleotides) under Pelobates cultripes (western spadefoot toad). The record is from RNAcentral. Lineage: Eukaryota; Metazoa; Chordata; Amphibia; Anura; Pelobatidae.